This is a long non-coding RNA of Orcinus orca (killer whale), 1551 nucleotides long. RefSeq lists it as uncharacterized. Lineage: Eukaryota; Metazoa; Chordata; Mammalia; Artiodactyla; Delphinidae. The transcript has 5 exons. The record is from RefSeq and is a predicted model, not a curated record.
UUCCUGGGUAAGGGUGUCGUCUCUGAGAACCAGAAGAACCUGUGAGGAUAUUUUCCUUUCUUGCGAAAAAGAGGUAACCGACCGACACAAGCUGACACUUGGAUCUUGCCAGACAGCCCGGAAAGGGGCCUUCAAGGGCGUCAAACAGGCGCAGACGUCGCGAGCGUGAUGACGACCGUGAUGACGUCAUCCCUUGCGUCAGACACCACGCGCGAAAUGGGCGUGUGCUUGCGUCCUCGGGCGUCUGAGACGUCUGGUGUUAUGUUGUCUGAGUUCUUUUCUGUGCUCCGAACUGCAGUUUGUGGGGAUGGUUACGUGGACACAAAAGCAAAAUUAUGGUGAAGAAAGCAUGUUGUACGGUUUAUAUGUCUUUCAAACGUUUUUCCCCUCAAUGCGUCGAAACACUACGCAUCUGCUGGUAGGCAUAUCUCAGAGAUAUUGCGGGUUCAGUUCCAGACCACUGCAAUAAAGAGUGCUUGACUUUUCUCCUGACUGCCGUCUGAAGUGCUCCAUCGUGUUGGAAACAGAGCAACGUGUCAGCAGUGCUGGCCUCUGGCGGCCCUCCUUGGUCAAGUUCCUGCCGCUGAGAAAGUCCUUUUAAUGGUUAUCAAAAUGCAGGGUACGGAGGCUUAAAACAGGCCAACAAGAAAGUGCAGAAACAAUCUACAGACUGGGAGAAUGUAUUUGCAGACACAUAGAGCUGAAGAAGAAAGUAGUAUUCAGAUUAAUCGUAUAAAACGAACAGAAAAAGACAAACAACCAAUGGGAAUACGGUCCAAACGCAUGAAAACACAUUUCACAGGAAGCAGAAACACAAAUGGUGAGUAAACAUACAAAAAGUUGCUCCCCUUGUUAGUAAUUAAGGAAAUGCAAAAAGAGACUGUAAUGACAUACCACAUAAACCCCACUGGAUUGGCUAAAACUAAGUCUUAUAAUCACAAGUCUCAAAGAUCAGUAGAAACUCUUACACACUGCUGGUGGGAUGAUAAUAUACACAACCGCUUGGACACAAUUUGAGAAUACCUUGCUAGUUGAAUGUUCACAUUCCCUAUAACUCAGCAGUUCUACUAGUAUGUACCCUACAACCACUUCUGCACAUGCACACAAGGAGCCAUCCGUAAGGACAUUCAUAGCAAGACUGAAACGGUAUUUCUACCUUCUUUCCUGCAUGCAUCGAAUAGAUGCAAAGUCUACCUCUCUGGGUGAAGUCACCUAGAAUUUUAGUUAUAUGCAUAACUCUUUAGGGAAGUGCUUAAAAAUUAACAAAGAAGAUUUUUGUAGAACUACUCACUCUUUUUUUAUUCUGGAUAAUUUUAACCUAUCAUCAGAUUCGCAAGUCACCUCUAAUAAAAUAUAAACUGAAGAUAGAUUUUUUUUUCUUCGUUGUCUAAGCUUUUCAAUUUUGUUCUCCUUUGCUAUUGUCUAGUUCCAAAAGGAGCAGCUUAGGAUGAAAUUUGUGGGAAGGAUGCUAUUCAGAGUUUAAUGUCAUUAUGUAGUAACCCAAUGAAAAUCCAGCAUAAAGAAUGUAGGUGUUUCUAGAAAAUGCUAAAA